This is a long non-coding RNA of Ipomoea nil (Japanese morning glory), 1033 nucleotides long. RefSeq lists it as uncharacterized. The record is from RefSeq and is a predicted model, not a curated record. The transcript is spliced from 2 exons. NCBI's taxonomy places the organism in Eukaryota, Viridiplantae, Streptophyta, Magnoliopsida, Solanales, Convolvulaceae.
CCGCUGGAUGCUACAAAUGGGGGGACUUUAGGGUUGCGCCGCCUGGUGCUAAGGUCGCCAGGCGGCGGCGUGCUUCGUCGGUUUUGAUUGAAAAGGCAAGCAUGCGAAACCACAAAAUGCAACUCUUAGAUUUCCAAAAAUGCAUAAAGAGUGAAUUUUGAUUCGAAACCACUAUAGGAAGGAAGCAUUUCUGUGGAAAAGAUUAAAUUUUGACAACUGGGCUCAUAGCCAUGAUUUGGGGCAAGCGGGGAAUAUAUAACAUUCUUCUCAAUGAGAAGAGCUGAGACUUGUGACUUGAGUGCAUUGGGAAAGAAGGGCUAAAAGUCCAACACAAUUGUAGCUCAAAACUAGGUGAUGGAGGCAGAAUAGGAUCACUAGGUAGUCUGCGGGAGGUGGGGAACUAGCGAUGAUGCAGGGGGAGAUCGGGUGUUAGCUACUGGAUACCUUUGUUGUGGUGCUGAUUUGGAAUGGUAUGAAUUGCUACAUUGGUGAGUCUCGACUCCAGAAGUUGGACACAAUCCCACCUUGUGACUCUAGCUGACAAAGGACCAAUAGGAGGGAAACUAGCCUAGGUUGUCCAUAGCUGACCAGUUCAAAAACCGAGAAGGCCAAUAGGCCUUUCCUGUUGGCUGUCAAACUUGUAAUCUUGUGUCCUUGUGAUUACUAAGUUAACAGCCUAACCAAUUUGGCUAAGAAGCGUUGGUAAAGGUAGUGAUUCUUGAGCCAGUUGCAUGCUGCCGGAGAUUAAUACGAAAAUGGUCUGCAAGCAUGCCUACCACUAAUGUUAGAUUGAGCUUUUAUGUUGUUUAUAUGACUCUUUCCUAUGUUUAUGCUAACAAUAGUGUUCAGCAAAACUAGAGUCUAUGUACUCUUCCAACAGGGUAUAAUCUGCUUUGGGCUUAAACACUGAUGAGUAAUCUGAAUGCAUCAACAUCAGCCAUUCACCCGAUGGAAUGAAUCUCGUGAUCUCUUAGGUGAUUCAUCUGAUCGGGCUUGUAAUCAAUCGAUGACUUCCUAGCAUUUGAACAUGUUC